UCCAGAGUCGAGCGGUAGCACUGAGAGCUUGCUCUCGGGUGACGAGCGGCGGACGGGUGAGUAAUGUCUGGGAAACUGCCUGAUGGAGGGGGAUAACUACUGGAAACGGUAGCUAAUACCGCAUAACGUCGCAAGACCAAAGUGGGGGACCUUCGGGCCUCAUGCCAUCAGAUGUGCCCAGAUGGGAUUAGCUAGUAGGUGGGGUAAUGGCUCACCUAGGCGACGAUCCCUAGCUGGUCUGAGAGGAUGACCAGCCACACUGGAACUGAGACACGGUCCAGACUCCUACGGGAGGCAGCAGUGGGGAAUAUUGCACAAUGGGCGCAAGCCUGAUGCAGCCAUGCCGCGUGUAUGAAGAAGGCCUUCGGGUUGUAAAGUACUUUCAGCGAGGAGGAAGGCGUUAAGGUUAAUAACCUUAGCGAUUGACGUUACUCGCAGAAGAAGCACCGGCUAACUCCGUGCCAGCAGCCGCGGUAAUACGGAGGGUGCAAGCGUUAAUCGGAAUUACUGGGCGUAAAGCGCACGCAGGCGGUCUGUCAAGUCGGAUGUGAAAUCCCCGGGCUCAACCUGGGAACUGCAUUCGAAACUGGCAGGCUAGAGUCUUGUAGAGGGGGGUAGAAUUCCAGGUGUAGCGGUGAAAUGCGUAGAGAUCUGGAGGAAUACCGGUGGCGAAGGCGGCCCCCUGGACAAAGACUGACGCUCAGGUGCGAAAGCGUGGGGAGCAAACAGGAUUAGAUACCCUGGUAGUCCACGCCGUAAACGAUGUCGACUUGGAGGUUGUGCCCUUGAGGCGUGGCUUCCGGAGCUAACGCGUUAAGUCGACCGCCUGGGGAGUACGGCCGCAAGGUUAAAACUCAAAUGAAUUGACGGGGGCCCGCACAAGCGGUGGAGCAUGUGGUUUAAUUCGAUGCAACGCGAAGAACCUUACCUACUCUUGACAUCCAGAGAACUUAGCAGAGAUGCUUUGGUGCCUUCGGGAACUCUGAGACAGGUGCUGCAUGGCUGUCGUCAGCUCGUGUUGUGAAAUGUUGGGUUAAGUCCCGCAACGAGCGCAACCCUUAUCCUUUGUUGCCAGCGGUCCGGCCGGGAACUCAAAGGAGACUGCCAGUGAUAAACUGGAGGAAGGUGGGGAUGACGUCAAGUCAUCAUGGCCCUUACGAGUAGGGCUACACACGUGCUACAAUGGCAUAUACAAAGAGAAGCGACCUCGCGAGAGCAAGCGGACCUCAUAAAGUAUGUCGUAGUCCGGAUUGGAGUCUGCAACUCGACUCCAUGAAGUCGGAAUCGCUAGUAAUCGUAGAUCAGAAUGCUACGGUGAAUACGUUCCCGGGCCUUGUACACACCGCCCGUCACACCAUGGGAGUGGGUUGCAAAAGAAGUAGGUAGCUUAACCUCGAGAGGGCGCUUACCACUUG
This 1415-nucleotide ribosomal RNA is filed under the name Klebsiella aerogenes. RNAcentral describes it as "bacterial SSU rRNA". It matches the Rfam family "Bacterial small subunit ribosomal RNA". Lineage: Bacteria; Pseudomonadati; Pseudomonadota; Gammaproteobacteria; Enterobacterales; Enterobacteriaceae. The record is from RNAcentral.